UACAGAGGUCCCGAGCGUUGUUCGGAUUCACUGGGCGUAAAGGGCGCGUAGGCGGCCAUUCAAGUCGGAGGUGAAAGCCCAGGGCUCAACCCUGGAAUUGCCCUCGAUACUGUUUGGCUAGAGACCGGAAGAGGUAGGUGGAACUGCGAGUGUAGAGGUGAAAUUCGUAGAUAUUCGCAAGAACACCAGUGGCGAAGGCGGCUUACUGGUCCGGUUCUGACGCUGAGGCGCGAAAGCGUGGGGAGCAAACAGG
Molecule: ribosomal RNA, 253 nt
Filed under: uncultured bacterium
Lineage: Bacteria
Description: partial 16S ribosomal RNA
Rfam family: Bacterial small subunit ribosomal RNA
Source: RNAcentral